Long non-coding RNA from Colias croceus (clouded yellow), 517 nucleotides. RefSeq lists it as uncharacterized. NCBI's taxonomy places the organism in Eukaryota, Metazoa, Arthropoda, Insecta, Lepidoptera, Pieridae. The transcript is spliced from 4 exons. The record is from RefSeq and is a predicted model, not a curated record.
CAAAAAUGAUUUCACCGUUUGUCUUGUUUGUCUUUUUGAGUAUUUUAUUUGGUAAUAUUCUAACACUUAAAAAUUUGCCAUCGGACAAUCCAAAUAAUUUCGGACCAUAUGAGCCAGUAUGGACUAAAUACGAAAUGUGUAGAGGACCAAAAAUGCUAAAUGCAUCGGACACAGGAUUAUUGCUGGUUAAACAAAAAAAGGAUUUUAUAGGUGUCAUGGAUUUUAAUUUUACAACUCAAACCACGCUUGAACAAGUAAAGAUAAUGGUAUACUCUGUCAAGGACAAUAAGAAAAACCUGAUGUGGUCUUAUAAAUUGAUGGAUCCAUGCAAACAUUUCCUCUUUGCGCAGUUAAUUGAGAGUUACCUGAAUGCACAUAAUUGUGUCGUCGAGAAGGCUGUAUUUCAUAAUAGCGUAAAUUUUUCCGAAAUAACUAAACAGCUCAUUGGACCAUCGUUUUUUUACGGAGAUUAUUUGUUGAAGGCUGUAGUGACGUCAAAAAAAGCUAAUAUCUUAUG